AGCCAUGCUUUUCCACAGCUUUCUUGAACUUUCUUUGCUCUUCCCCCUCUUCUCAUGCUCAUUUGUAUGUAAAAUCUCUCUUAGAUUUUACCCAAAAUUUUAAAUUUAAAAAAAAAGACUUUGGAAGUUCAAGAAAGCUGUGGGAGAACAUGGCAU
RNAcentral lists this microRNA precursor (156 nucleotides) under Cucumis sativus (cucumber). RNAcentral's name for it is "pre miRNA MIR396". It matches the Rfam family "MIR396 microRNA precursor family". The record is from Rfam by way of RNAcentral. Lineage: Eukaryota; Viridiplantae; Streptophyta; Magnoliopsida; Cucurbitales; Cucurbitaceae.